This 257-nucleotide ribosomal RNA is filed under the name uncultured bacterium. RNAcentral describes it as "partial 16S ribosomal RNA". It matches the Rfam family "Bacterial small subunit ribosomal RNA", at positions 524 to 776 of the family's 1533-position model. The record is from RNAcentral.
UACAGAGGGUGCAAGCGUUAAUCGGAUUUACUGGGCGUAAAGCGCGCGUAGGCGGCUAAUUAAGUCAAAUGUGAAAAUCCCCCGGAGCUUAACUUGGGAAUUGCAUUCGAUACUGGUUAGCUAGAGUGUGGGAGAGGAUGGUAGAAUUCCAGGUGUAGCGGUGAAAUGCGUAGAGAUCUGGAGGAAUACCGGAUGGCGAAGGCAGCCAUCUGGCCUAACACUGACGCUGAGGUGCGAAAGCAUGGGGAGCAAACAGG